RNAcentral lists this ribosomal RNA (712 nucleotides) under uncultured bacterium. RNAcentral's name for it is "bacterial SSU rRNA". It matches the Rfam family "Bacterial small subunit ribosomal RNA", at positions 45 to 761 of the family's 1533-position model. The record is from RNAcentral.
GGCCUAACACAUGCAAGUCGAACGGGACUGGGGGCAACUCCAGUUCAGUGGCGGACGGGUGCGUAACACGUGAGGAACAUGACUUUCGGCGGGGGAUAGCCGGCCCAACGGCCGGGUAAUACCGCGUACGACCUUUCGGGGACAUCCCCGGUUGGUGAAAGCAGCAAUGCACCGAAAGAGUGCCUCGCGGCCUAUCAGCUAGUUGGUGGGGUAAUGGCUCACCAAGGCGACGACGGGUAGCUGGUCUGAGAGGAUGGCCAGCCACAUUGGGACUGAGACACGGCCCAGACUCCUACGGGAGGCAGCAGUGGGGAAUAUUGCGCAAUGGGCGAAAGCCUGACGCAGCGACGCCGCGUGUGGGAUGACGGCCUUCGGGUUGUAAACCACUGUCGGGAGGGACGAAUGCCCCGCAAGGGGAGUGACGGUACCUCCAAAGGAAGCACCGGCUAACUCCGUGCCAGCAGCCGCGGUAAUACGGAGGGUGCGAGCGUUGUCCGGAAUCACUGGGCGUAAAGGGCGCGUAGGCGGCCUGAUAAGUAGGGGGUGAAAUCCUGCGGCUUAACCGCAGGGCUGCCUUCUAAACUGUCGGGCUCGAGCACAGUAGAGGCAGGUGGAAUUCCCGGUGUAGCGGUGGAAUGCGUAGAGAUCGGGAAGAACAUCAGUGGCGAAAGGCGGCCUGCUGGGCUGUUGCUGACGCUGAGGCGCGACAGCG